CUCACACAGGGCUGAGGUCUCUGGGAAGGCAGGUGUGGUCUAGAAGAUGAGGCUGCUGGGUCUUGUCCUGUGCCUGGUCACAGCUCCCCAAGGUGAGUGUCCCCAGUGUCAGACCUGGGUCCAUGGGGAGGUUGUGACUGCAGGUGACUAACAGGGUGUGACUGUCCUUGUCCUCAGGUGUCCUGUGCCAGGUGCAGCUGCAGGAGUCAGGACCUGGCCUGGUGAAGCCCUCGCAGACCCUGUCCCUCACCUGUGCUGUCUCUGGAUUCUCCAUCACAACCAGUUACUACUGCUGGGAGUGGAUCCGUCAGCCCCCAGGACAGGGGCUGGAGUGGAUAGGGGACAUAUGUUAUAAUGGUAACACUUACUACAGCCCAUCCCUCAAGAGCCGAGUGUCCAUCUCCAGAGACCCGUCCAAGAACCAGUUCUCCCUGCAGCUGAGCUCCCUGACCACUGAGGACACGGCCACCUAUUACUGUGCCAGAGACACAGUGA
Molecule: long non-coding RNA, 495 nt
Filed under: Marmota monax (woodchuck)
Lineage: Eukaryota; Metazoa; Chordata; Mammalia; Rodentia; Sciuridae
Source: RNAcentral